Molecule: ribosomal RNA, 732 nt
Filed under: uncultured Leptotrichia sp.
Lineage: Bacteria; Fusobacteriati; Fusobacteriota; Fusobacteriia; Fusobacteriales; Leptotrichiaceae
Description: bacterial SSU rRNA
Rfam family: Bacterial small subunit ribosomal RNA
Source: RNAcentral
GAUGAACGCUGACAGAAUGCUUAACACAUGCAAGUCGAUGGGGAAGUGGUGCUUGCACCAUGGUAACCAUGGCGGACGGGUGAGUAACGCGUAAGGGACUUACCUGCAGGACUGGGAUAACAGGGGGAAACUCCUGACAAGACCGGAUAAUGUCAUGGAGCUGCAUGGCUUUAUGAUGAAAGGAGACGCCUGCGGAGAGCCUUGCGUCCUAUUAGCUAGUUGGUGAGGUAAUGGCUCACCAAGGCGAAGAUAGGUAGCCGGCCUGAGAGGGUGGACGGCCACAAGGGGACUGAGAUACGGCCCUUACUCCUACGGGAGGCAGCAGUGGGGAAUAUUGGACAAUGGGGGCAACCCUGAUCCAGCAAUUCUGUGUGCACGAAGAAGGUUUUCGGAUUGUAAAGUGCUUUCAGCAGGGAAGAAGGAAGUGACGGUACCUGCAGAAGAAGCGACGGCUAAAUACGUGCCAGCAGCCGCGGUAAUACGUAUGUCGCGAGCGUUAUCCGGAAUUAUUGGGCAUAAAGGGCAUCUAGGCGGCCUGACAAGUCAGGGGUGAAAACCUGCGGCUCAACCGCAGGCCUGCCUUUGAAACUGUGAGGCUGGAGUACCGGAGAGGUGGACGGAACUGCACGAGUAGAGGUGAAAUUCGUAGAUAUGUGCAGGAAUGCCGAUGAUGAAGAUAGUUCACUGGACGGUAACUGACGCUGAAGUGCGAAAGCCGGGGGAGCGAACAGG